Molecule: long non-coding RNA, 355 nt
Filed under: Eutrema salsugineum
Lineage: Eukaryota; Viridiplantae; Streptophyta; Magnoliopsida; Brassicales; Brassicaceae
Description: long non-coding RNA (ESAL_LNC000765)
Source: RNAcentral
UUUCUGCCUCGUUAAAAACCUUGGAGAAGAACCUCCUUGCCUUUCAAAAUCCUCACCAAGGAAAAGAGUACAGAAUCAUCACCUAAGUUACCUAGUCAUUGUUACUGGGCUCUUCAUUCUUCAAAAUAGAGAUGUUGAAGAUGUGAGCUCCAGCCUCCAGUUGAUCGAUGUCCUCUGCGGCAAUGAGUGCGUGAGCCUCCUUAGCCAUCUCUCUAGCUCUGGAACGAGUAAUCCUGCCAGCUACCUCUGUUUCCUCCUCCUCUGAGCUGGUCACGAUCAUAUCAGAUACCAUCAAACAAUUCUCGAGAAUUCUCAAUGAUGGAAGAAAUGGUAUUUUUUCCUUCCCAAAACUUUU